RNAcentral lists this ribosomal RNA (253 nucleotides) under uncultured bacterium. RNAcentral describes it as "partial 16S ribosomal RNA". It matches the Rfam family "Bacterial small subunit ribosomal RNA", at positions 524 to 776 of the family's 1533-position model. The record is from RNAcentral.
GACGAAGGAUGCAAGCGUUAUCCGGAUUCAUUGGGUUUAAAGGGAGCGUAGGUGGCCUUAUAAGUCAGUGGUGAAAUCUCUGGGCUUAACCCAGAAAUUGCCAUUGAUACUGUAGGGCUUGAGUAUAGAUGCCGUUGGCGGAAUAUGACAUGUAGUGGUGAAAUACAUAGAGAUGUCAUAGAACACCGAUUGCGAAGGCAGCUAACGAAACUAUAACUGACACUGAGACGCGAAAGCGUGGGGAGCGAACAGG